AAAAGAAAAAGGGGUGAAAAGAACAAAGUUUUGUCCAUCUUUGUUCAUCAUAGCCUAAAGUUAGAGAAGAGAAAGGAGAGGAGAAAGCUCUUGAAUGUUCGGUCACUUGGGGAAGAAAAUUGAAGGAAAUCCCCAACCAUAGUGGGCUUGGAGCUGUGAGGGAAUUCGGAGUGGCCACCCAUUCUGAAAGUUUGAUUUUCUUCUGGUGAACUGGACAUCCUUUUAUUUACGUUUGAAGUUUUGGGUUUUUAAAUGUAAUAAGGCCGCUUAAUUAUUUUUAAUGGUUUUAAUAUGUAUUACUAAGAUAGGUAUUACUUA
This is a long non-coding RNA of Gossypium arboreum, 318 nucleotides long. RefSeq lists it as uncharacterized. NCBI's taxonomy places the organism in Eukaryota, Viridiplantae, Streptophyta, Magnoliopsida, Malvales, Malvaceae. The transcript is spliced from 2 exons. The record is from RefSeq and is a predicted model, not a curated record.